This 417-nucleotide ribosomal RNA is filed under the name uncultured eukaryote. Its description in RNAcentral is "SSU rRNA". It matches the Rfam family "Eukaryotic small subunit ribosomal RNA", at positions 567 to 990 of the family's 1831-position model. The record is from RNAcentral.
CCAGCAGCUGCGGUAAUUCCAGCUCCAAUAGCGUCUAUUAAAGUUGUUGCAGUUAAAAAGCUCGUAGUUGAAUUUCGGACACGUCUGAUUGGUCUGCCUAACGGUACGUACCGGUUAGCGGUGUCUUCCUUUCUGGUGAUCUUGGCUGUUCUUUAUUGGGUGGCCAAGAAACCCAGGACUUUUACUUUGAAAAAAUUAGAGUGUUCAAAGCAGGCUUACGCUUGAAUACAUUAGCAUGGAAUAAUAGAAUAGGACUUUGGUUCUAUUUUGUUGGUUUCUAGGACCGAAGUAAUGAUUAAUAGGGAUAGUUGGGGGCAUUAGUAUUUCAGUGUCAGAGGUGAAAUUCUUGGAUUUCUGAAAGACUAACUACUGCGAAAGCAUUUGCCAAGGAUGUUUUCAUUAAUCAAGAACGAAAGU